GACGAACGCUGGCGGCGUGCUUAACACAUGCAAGUCGAACGCGCCUGUCCUCUGGGUUUCUGGGGGGUGGGUGAGUGGCGAACGGGUGAGUAACACGUGAGUAACCUGCCCCCUUCUUCGGGAUAACGGUCUGAAAGGGCUGCUAAUAUCGGGUAUUCACUGGUCUCCGCAUGGGGUCUGGUGGAACGGUUUUUUUCUGGUGGGGGAUGGGCUCGCGGCCUUUCCGCUUGUUGGUGGGGUGAUGGCCCACCAGGGCUUUUACGGGUAGCCGGCCUGAGGGGGUGACCGGGAACAUGGGGACUGAGAUACGGCCCAGAGUCGUACGAGAGGCAGCAGUGGGGAAAAUUGCACAAUGGGCGCAAGCCUGAUGCAGCGACGCCGCGUGAGGGAUGGGGGCCUUCGGGUUGUUAACCUCUUUCGCCCGUGGUCAAGCCGCGACGUGGGUCGUGGUGAGGGUAGUGGGUAAAGAAGAGCCGGCUAACUACGUG
This 488-nucleotide ribosomal RNA is filed under the name uncultured bacterium. RNAcentral describes it as "partial 16S ribosomal RNA". It matches the Rfam family "Bacterial small subunit ribosomal RNA", at positions 28 to 507 of the family's 1533-position model. The record is from RNAcentral.